GACGAACGCUGGCGGCGUGCUUAACACAUGCAAGUCGAACGGAAAGGCCCUGCUUUUGUGGGGUGCUCGAGUGGCGAACGGGUGAGUAACACGUGAGUAACCUGCCCUUGACUUUGGGAUAACUUCAGGAAACUGGGGCUAAUACCGGAUAGGAGCUCCUGCUGCAUGGUGGGGGUUGGAAAGUUUCGGCGGUUGGGGAUGGACUAGCGGCUUAUCAGCUUGUUGGUGGGGUAGUGGCUUACCAAGGCUUUGCCGGGUAGCCGGCCUGAGAGGGGGACCGGCCACAUUGGGACUGAGGUACGGCCCAGACGCCUACGGGAGGCAGCAGUGGGCAAUAUUGCACAAUGGGCGGAAGCCUGAUGCAGCAACGCCGCGUGCGGGAUGACGGCCUUCGGGUUGUAAACCGCUUUCGCCUGUGACGAAGCGUGAGUGACGGUAAUGGGUAAAGAAGCACCGGCUAACUACGUG
This 468-nucleotide ribosomal RNA is filed under the name uncultured bacterium. RNAcentral describes it as "partial 16S ribosomal RNA". It matches the Rfam family "Bacterial small subunit ribosomal RNA", at positions 28 to 507 of the family's 1533-position model. The record is from RNAcentral.